GACGAACGCUGGCGGCAUGCCUAACACAUGCAAGUCGAACGAGACCUUCGGGUCUAGUGGCGCACGGCUGCGUAACGCGGGGGAACCUGCACGUAGGUUCGGAAUAACUCCCCGAAAGGGAUGCUAAUACCGGAUAAUGUCUUCGGACCAAAGAUGUAUCGCCGUUGGAUGGGCCCGCGUUGGAUUAGCUAGUUGGUAGUGUAAAAGCCUACCAAGGCGACGUUGCAUAGCUGGUCUGAGAGGAUGAUCAGCCAGAAUGGGACUGAGACACGGCCCAGACUGCUACGGGAGGCAGCAGUGGGGAAUAUUGGACGAUGGGCGAAAGUCUGACCCAGCAAUGCGGGGUGAGUGAUGAAGGCCUUAGGGUUGUAAAGCUCUUUUACCCGGGAUGAUAAUGACAGUACCGGGAGAAUAAGCUCCGGCUAACUCCGUG
Molecule: ribosomal RNA, 433 nt
Filed under: uncultured bacterium
Lineage: Bacteria
Description: partial 16S ribosomal RNA
Rfam family: Bacterial small subunit ribosomal RNA
Source: RNAcentral